This 253-nucleotide ribosomal RNA is filed under the name uncultured bacterium. RNAcentral describes it as "partial 16S ribosomal RNA". It matches the Rfam family "Bacterial small subunit ribosomal RNA", at positions 524 to 776 of the family's 1533-position model. The record is from RNAcentral.
GACGAACCGUCCAAACGUUGUUCGGAAUCACUGGGCUUAAAGGGCGCGUAGGCGGGCUCCCAAGUCGGUGGUGAAAUCUUUCGGCCCAACCGGAAAAGUGCCGCCGAUACUGGGAGCCUCGAGGGAGGUAGGGGUCGAGGGAACUUCCGGUGGAGCGGUGAAAUGCGUAGAUAUCGGAAGGAACGCCGGUGGCGAAAGCGCUCGACUGGACCUCUUCUGACGCUGAGGCGCGAAAGCCAGGGGAGCAAACGGG